Long non-coding RNA from Physeter macrocephalus (sperm whale), 4129 nucleotides. RefSeq lists it as uncharacterized. The record is from RefSeq and is a predicted model, not a curated record. The transcript is spliced from 4 exons. Lineage: Eukaryota; Metazoa; Chordata; Mammalia; Artiodactyla; Physeteridae.
GUGAUACCUGGCAUCCCCCCAGGCCUCUUUUGUUGCGUUUUAUCUAACCUUGUGUUAUUUAGAUAAUCCUUCAUUGCCAGAGACCGUUUUGGAAAUGCAGGUCAGAAAUAAAAGGCAAUGGGAGUCCCCAAUAAACAACUUCCUUGUCUUCUAAAGACUCAAAAGGAAUUUGCAGUUCCCAGCCCCCUCCUGCUGUCCACCUUCCCCGAGCUGAUCUCUGGAACAAUGAGUGCCCAGAAGUUCAGCUGCCUCCUCCUUGGACAGCAGCCAACUCCCACUGCAGGAAAAACCCACAGAGAUGACACAGCUCAGAGCUCGAUUAUGCAGAAGAGAAGUCAUUGUUUUCUCGGGGAUUUUGGACAACUAAAAAUGUACUCGGAGAAAGUCUAAAAUCAACCACUGAAAUCCACCAGACACACCAUUACCUCACAGAGAGCUGAGGGCAAUUCUAGCAAAAACAAGUUACAGAAACUAAAAAUGGCUGCGUCAUCAGCCUUCCCCAAAAUGCUGUCGGGAAGAGGCAGCCUGGGCCUCUCCCUCUCAGGCACUGAACAUCUCUAGGCUGAAGAGUAAAGGAAACAUUCUCCUCUUGUCUUCCUGAGAAGAGCAUCCGUCUUUAAGUGUACCCUCCUCCAAGACACAGCGGAAGGAUUCUGUGUUGGUAGAAUUCUCUUUCUGGGGGAGAACACAGGAGAAAGCAUCUUGAAAAAGAGAUUUCUCAUCCCCAGUUCGAGAGCUCCAUGCUGCUAGUUCCCUUCUUUAGUUUAUUCGCCACGUAAUGUCCUUGGCCCUGGGCCCUGCAGCCUGUUUGUGGAUCUUUCCAGAGAGGCCUGGCUGUGGAAGCCCAGCUGUAGCACUGUGGGGUGUGGGAGGACAAAAUGACAACAAGGGGCAGACGCAGCUCUGCAGACCAGCUGCUUCAGCCUGUUUCUCCCCAGCUUAAGAUCUCUGCAAGGCCCCUCACUGGCUUCACCGAGCAUUUCCAGACCUUCCUUCCCCAGGCUGUCCACCCUCCCUGUGGCCUUUCCUCUUGUUCUGGUUAACCUGGGGUGGAGACGGUCUACUGACCCCCUCCCCGGCAGAGAACAGAGUCUACCACGCUUUCCUCAGUCCCUUCAUUGUGCCUGGUGCAUCUGCAGGACAGGAAAUCCAGCGGCAGCGUUAUUUUCUGUAACAUUUAUUGAGCACUGUGCCAUACGCGUUCCAUGAACCAUCUCUUUUCAGUUCUCACAGCCACCCUGUGAGGGAGGUGCUGCUGUUAACCCCUUGGACAGAUGAGGAAACUGAGGCCCGGGCUGUCUCUCUUGGCAUCACUAGUGCCUGGCACACAUUAGGAGCUCAAAAUGUGCCUACUGAAUAAUGACUAAAUGAAUAAAUUGGAAUAGUAUCUCUUUGGGAAUUAAAAAACCAGGCAUGGGCUUCCCUGGUGGCGCAGUGGUUGGGAGUCUGCCUGCCGAUGCAGGGGACGCGGGUUUGUGGCCCGGUCCGGGAGGAUCCCACAUGCCGCGGAGCGGCUGGGCCCGUGAGCCAUGGCCGCCGAGCCUGCGCGUCCGGAGCCUGUGCUCCGCAACGGGAGAGGCCACAGCAGUGAGAGGCCCGCGUACCGCAAAAACAAACGAACAAAACAAAACAAAAAAACCCAGGCAGAACAGUGAAAAGAGCACAUGCAGUAGAUGCCCCGUAAGUGCAGAGUGACUGAGCGACUGGUAACCCAGCUCGGGAGGGGCUGUGAAAGGACAAUGUGUCCCCCAUCCUGGAGUGUCCAGUCCAGAGACACUUGUGUAAAGCAAGCUCAGUGGUUCUCUGAGGUUUCCAGCUGUUUGUUGCGCUGUGUAAGUACUGGAGCGCGGUGGUGAGGAAGAAGGCACAAGCUGAUGUGCUUUGAUAGGAACAAAAUGCUUUUAGAUGUGACAUAAACACGACCGCCCGGCAGGAUGGAGUGAAAUCCGCACUGAGUGGUACUGCGUAAGAAACUGCGGAACUUCUAAACAGACUGACCCAUAGAGGUGGGGAAGGGUGCGGCCUGGAAGGCUGCCUUGGGUCUCCGUGGAGCUCCUGCCUCCAGAGCGCAGGGGUGUGAGCCCACCCUCAGGAUUCAGGGCUUGCUGCCCCUCUGCUGGAGGACUCACCGCGGGAAGCAGGAAGUGCUGUGUCCAGUCUCACCCGCGCUGCGCGGGGCCUGUGAGUGGACCUUCCAGAAUAGCCUGAAGGAACUGUGAGGCUUCCCAGUGGGUCAUAUUCCCAGUAUCCACAGUCUUAUAACCCUGAUCUGUUCAGUCACCCACCUGAGGUCCCAGGCAGAUGCUUGUGUUAGCACCACAUACCCAGCAUGAUGCUCAUUAAACCUUUCACCCCUCCUACACACACACACACACACACACACACACACACACACACACACACACGUGUUCAUUCUUCCUCAACACAGCUGUGGCCCACAUCCCACAGAGACAAGUCUCAUGGAACAGGGGUAGAGGUCACCCGGUUCUAGGAUCUUUGCCUGAGGUGUAUUUCUCAGCACAUGCCAGUUCCCUGACCAGGGAUGGAACCUGUGCCCCCAGCAGUGGAAGCGCAGAGUCUUAACCACUGGACCCCACCAGGGAAGUCCCCUUUUCUUUUUUUUUUAAGCAUUCAUGUUCAUCUUUAUUUAUUUAUUUGUUUGUUUGUUUGUAGGCACUCAAUAGAUGUUUGUUAAAAGAAAGGUCCUUUAAAUUCUAUAGUGUUUUACAAUUUUCAAAAGUUUCACAGAGCUUCCCUGGUGGCACAGUAGUUAAGAAUCCGCCUGCCAAUGCAGGGGACUCGGGUUCUGUUCCUGGGCCGGGAAGAUCCCCCAUACCGCAGAACAACUAAGCCCGUGCGCCACAACUACUGAAGCCCACGUGCCCAGAGCCCGCGCUCUGCAACAAGAGAAGCCACGGCAAUGAGAAGCCUGCACACCACGACGAAGAGUAGCCCCCGCUCGCCGCAACUAGAGAAAGCCUGCGUGCAGCAAGGAAGACCCCAUGCAGCCAAAGAUAAAUGAAUAAACAAAUGGAUUUAUUUAAAAAAAAGUUUCACACACAUGAUUUCAUAUAAUCCCGUAAUAACCCUUUGUUUUCCUACCCCUAUCUUGCCCCUCCCCCUUCCCUCUCCCCACUGGUAACCACUAGUUUGUUCUCUAUCUGUGAGUCCACACUCAUGUUCUUUACUCUCGAUGACACAUCUGCAUGGAAUGCACCUCCCCCACUCUUCAGAUGACACUCAUUCUCAUCGCCCUGCCUAGCCGUCACUCCUGGGAAAGGGCCAAGGGCCUCUCUGCCCAGCACUUCCAAAGUCAUCCUGUAUCACCACCCCACAGUGACUCACUGUCACAGCACAGCCUAUGUUUUCCUGGAUGAAUACGUGUUCGUUAACAUGUCCCCCUAACUCUUCGGAGGGUUAAGGGAACUCCAGGGUUUGCAGCCUGGUCAGCAGUGAGGAUGGGGUACGACUGCUGGAGGCUGAAAGUGGGGACAGAGGGGCCUCGGGCUCACUCUCGUGCACAGACGGGAGAUGGGUCUGUGCCAGCCUCCCGGCGAGUCCCAGCUGUGGACAAAGGGUGGGAACUCGGCAGAGUUGUCACUUGGCUCCGUUUGGUAACUUGUUGCUCUAAGGCCAGAGCUCAUUCUGGCCCCUGCAUUCCCAGCUGCUGCCUGCUCGGAGCAGCUAACCUGAGAUGGGGCGCAGCUCAGGGUCCAGAGGAGGGAAGUAGGGGGAGGGGAGAGAGACGAGAGAGCUUCCUGUGUCUUCCCGGCUCUCCACAGACGUCACUUCUGCUUGGGGGCUUCCAGAAACAGAGGAAGCCCUCCCCGCUGAAUGGUCCGUCCCUCCUAUAGUCUCCUGCGGCUGUCAUCAUCCAGUGACCUCACCAGCACUCCUGUGAUCGUGCCCUUCGCUCAGUGACUCAUCUAUUGUUACCCUGAGCUAUGGAGAACGCCCUCAUCUUCUUCCUCAAGGAAUUUCUGAGCCUCUGCUUAUGGCUUUGGUUACCAAUCCACCCCUGGUUUCUGUGAAAUGGGAUAUUCAUUCCAGGACACCCUACCUUCUAGGGCUGGAGUAAGUUUGCAAAUGCUCACUGUAAACUAAAGCUCUGUGCACUCGCCAUGUGUCU